Molecule: ribosomal RNA, 506 nt
Filed under: uncultured bacterium
Lineage: Bacteria
Description: bacterial SSU rRNA
Rfam family: Bacterial small subunit ribosomal RNA
Source: RNAcentral
AUGGCUCAGGAUGAACGCUAGCGGCAGGCUUAACACAUGCAAGUCGAGGGGCAUCGGGAGUAGCAAUACUGCCGGCGACCGGCGCAAGGGUGCGUAACGCGUGAGCAACAUGCCCGUAUCAGGGGGAUAAUCCAUGGAAACGUGGUCUAAUACCCCAUAGUAAUUAUGUAAGGCAUCUUAUAUAAUUUAAAGCUUUGGUGGAUACGGAUUGGCUCGCGUGACAUUAGCUAGAUGGUAAGGUAACGGCUUACCAUGGCUACGAUGUCUAGGGGUUCUGAGAGGAAGGUCCCCCCACACUGGAACUGAGACACGGUCCAGACUCCUACGGGAGGCAGCAGUGAGGAAUAUUGGACAAUGGAUGGAAAUCUGAUCCAGCCAUGCCGCGUGCAGGAAAAGACGGCCCUAUGGGUUGUAAACUGCUUUUGUAUGGGAGCAAUAAGGGCUACGCGUAGUCCGAUGAGAGUACCAUACGAAUAAGCACCGGCUAACUCCGUGCCAGCCGCUGC